RNAcentral lists this ribosomal RNA (465 nucleotides) under uncultured bacterium. RNAcentral's name for it is "bacterial SSU rRNA". It matches the Rfam family "Bacterial small subunit ribosomal RNA", at positions 331 to 794 of the family's 1533-position model. The record is from RNAcentral.
CCAGACUCCUACGGGAGGCAGCAGUGAGGAAUAUUGGUCAAUGGUCGGGAGACUGAACCAGCCAAGCCGCGUGAGGGAUGAAGGUACAGAGUAUCGUAAACCUCUUUUGUCAGGGAACAAAGGCGGGGACGCGUCCCCGGAUGAGUGUACCUGAAGAAAAAGCAUCGGCUAACUCCGUGCCAGCAGCCGCGGUAAUACGGAGGAUGCGAGCGUUAUCCGGAUUUAUUAGGUUUAAAGGGUGCGUAGGCGGAAUGCCAAGUCAGGGGUAAAAUCGCGGGGCUCAACCUCGCUCCGCCGUUGAAACUGGGUGCCUUGAGUGGGCGAGAAGUAUGCGGAAUGCGCGGUGUAGCGGUGAAAUGCAUAGAUAUCGCGCAGAACUCCGAUUGCGAAGGCAGCAUGCCGGCGCCACACUGACGCUGAGGCACGAAAGCGUGGGUAUCGAACAGGAUUAGAUACCCUAGUAGU